AGCCGACGCAGGCAGCCGCCGGGUGAAGUACGCAGGUACCGCAGGUACCCGGCGCCCGCCCGAUUUCAGGGCAAGUUACUGUUUUCAGAAUCCAAGGGGAAUCUAACACCUAAACAAUGCCAAGAGAAAAGGAAGGAAAACGAAAAACUAAAGGAGCACUCCUGCCCAUCAUUCCAACUCUUAAAAAGUUCCUGAAAACGUAUGAGAAGUAUUGUGCACAGACUCAGACGUCUGUGUGUCCAGCCAUCAAAAGGGACUUGAAAACCAGCAUCAAUAAUGAACAAAUUCUCAGGAAGUUUGUACUUGUAAGACCUGAUGACUCCCCGCCAGGCAUCCUACCAAUUUCCUUGGAACCUUUGCUCAUGACAGUUCAGGAUGAGUGUUUCACUCUGGGGAGAGAGAUCUGCAUUUGGGGCCUUCAACUGAGCAACCCAGAGAUGGCCAGACUCGCUUUGCUUUUGGAAUCAAAGGGGUGCACCACCUGCCCAUUUACCACCCUGGAACUCAUUGAUUGCAAGAUGGAUCUGUGGUCCCUGGGGAGACUUGGGAAGGCUCUUCAGUCCAGCAGUUUGCAAACUCUUGUUCUUGAUUACUGCAAAUUUGGAAAUGAAGAAAUUGAGAGGAUUUUCUCAGGCCUGGAGAACAACCAAAGGCUUCAAGUCCUCAGCUUACGUUACUGUGGUCUGGGGCCACAGAUUGGGCCAAGGCUGGGCUCUAUCAUAUGCCAGAGUGCCAUUUGUGAGCUGCACCUUGAUGGCAAUUACUUGCAGUGUUCUGGAGCUCUGGAUCUCCUCAGACCCGUAGCAGAGUAUGCAGAGAUGCAGGGGAAAGACCAGCCAGCCACUUGCUCACCAGACCCUAGGCAUCCCCCUCAGCUGCUCCAAGCUAAGCAGAGAGGAAGUUCAACUUUGAACCAGAUUACAAAGUCAUCUGGAGCUCUAACAGUGAAAACUACUUCAGGAAAGAAGAGAAAAAAAGGAAUCAAGAAAAAACUUAAAAAUUCGGAAGUUGGACCUUGGUUAGUGAAGUUGUAUUUGGCAGAUAAUGGCAUAGAUGGAAAAGGAAAAGAAGGAGAAAAUAACUUGCUGGAAUUCACUCAAAUUUUAACAUGCCUGAUCAAAUACUCUGCCCAUUUAAGGGAGAUUGACCUUGGAAACAAUGUCCUGGGAGAAAUGGCUGCUGCUGACAUUCUUGAAGCACUGAGAGCCAGAAAGACAGGUAAACUUCCAGUUUUAAAAGUUACAGUAACUCCCCAGAUCUCUUCAGAUACCUUCAUGUCUAUUUGGGAAAAUAGCAAGAAAUCAAGUACUACCCAUAAAAAGAGGAAAAAGGUAUGCUCUCAGAUAUCUGUGCUGGUAAGUAGAAGCCACCAGGGGGUGCUCUAUGGAGUCUGGGCACUCUGCUAG
Molecule: long non-coding RNA, 1406 nt
Filed under: Sus scrofa (pig)
Lineage: Eukaryota; Metazoa; Chordata; Mammalia; Artiodactyla; Suidae
Description: lncRNA (ENSSSCG00015004918.1)
Source: RNAcentral